Molecule: ribosomal RNA, 607 nt
Filed under: Patescibacteria group bacterium
Lineage: Bacteria
Description: bacterial SSU rRNA
Rfam family: Bacterial small subunit ribosomal RNA
Source: RNAcentral
ACUCAAAGGAAUUGACGGGGGCUUGCACAAGCGGUGGAGCAUGUGGUUUAAUUCGACGCUAAGCGAAGAACCUUACCAGGACUUGACAUCUCGGGAACCCUGUAGAAAUACAGGGGUGCCUUCGGGAACCCGAUGACAGGUGCUGCAUGGUUGUCGUCAGCUCGUGCCGUGAGGUGUACCCUUAAGUGGGGUAACGAGCGCAACCCUCGUGUCGUGUUACUAUGUCACGACAGACUGCCUCGGAUAACGGGGAGGAAGGUGGGGAUGACGUCAAAUCAGCAUGGCUCUUACGCCUAGGGCUACACACGUGUUACAAUGGGCAGUUCAAAGGGCCGCCAAGUCGCAAGACGGAGCAAAUCCCAUCAAAACUGUUCUCAGUUCGGAUCGAGGUCUGCAAUUCGACCUCGUGAAGCUGGAAUCGCUAGUAAACGCGCAUCAGCCACGGCGCGUUGAAUACGUUCUCGGGUCUUGUACUCACCGCCCGUCACGUCAAGAGAGCUGGGGGCGCCCGAAGUCAUGCGUUCGUGUGACGAAGGCGAAAUCAGUGAUAGGGACGAAGUCGUAACAAGGCAUCCGUAGCGGAAGCUGUGGAUGGAUCACCUCCUUU